This 260-nucleotide ribosomal RNA is filed under the name uncultured bacterium. RNAcentral's name for it is "partial 16S ribosomal RNA". It matches the Rfam family "Bacterial small subunit ribosomal RNA", at positions 524 to 776 of the family's 1533-position model. The record is from RNAcentral.
GACAGAGGAUGCAAGCGUUAUCCGGAAUGAUUGGGCGUAAAGCGUCUGUAGGUGGCUUUUCAAGUCCGCCGUCAAAUCCCAGGGCUCAACCCUGGACAGGCGGUGGAAACUACCAAGCUGGAGUACGGUAGGGGCAGAGGGAAUUUCCGGUGGAGCGGUGAAAUGCGUAGAGAUCGGGAAGAACGCCAAGGGCGAAGGCACUCUGCUAGGCCUGAUUUCGCGACUGACACUCAGGGACGAGAGCCAGGGGAGCGAAUGGG